Dalotia coriaria is the source of this 1720-nucleotide long non-coding RNA. RefSeq lists it as uncharacterized. The record is from RefSeq and is a predicted model, not a curated record. NCBI's taxonomy places the organism in Eukaryota, Metazoa, Arthropoda, Insecta, Coleoptera, Staphylinidae. The transcript is spliced from 4 exons.
AUGCGCGCUCCGCGUGAGGUCAGUGUUGAGUGUCAUCGCGCGCCUGUUUCGUUUACGCUGCUUCACAGGCGGUAUGUGAACAAUCGGAACAAUCAAUCGGCGUGCAUUUAUUGUGGCUCCUACGGCGUGAACUUUGAUUACGCGCCCCUUGGAACGUCGCCCACGUUGCGUCAAUAAUAAAACCGAAGGUGCUGAAUCGUCGCCGUGCGCGAGUGAAUGUGUGUGUGACAAUUGAAUAUCGCAACACUCUCGAGGAUUACGAGUGCACAAAAUCAGAAAAAGGAUUACUUUAGGGUUGAUUGUGGUGUUUAACGAUGAAAUGUCCAACAUGUGCUUGCUUAAGUUGGCAGUUGUUUCGCCUGUCAGAAAGUAAAUAAACUACGAAACAAUUGAAUUCCUAACUGUGAGACAGACAGUGAUGGUCGUUCAUCGUAUGCAAGGCCGAACGAAUGCUGCAUGUAAUAAAUCCAUGACACGAAAUGCUGCGCCAGGCGGUUACAAUUUGGCGGAUUAAUUGUAUGAGUCAUUGACACACCAUUACCCAACCAUAAAACCCGGCGUCGGCCGAAGAAGGCAAAAAUAUCGCCGAAAACCUUCACUUUCCUUGUGUGUUGUGUUGAUUUAAACAAGAAUCUGAUUGGCGGAUGCACGUGGGGAAGGUUCGGAGUUUUGGCGCAGUGAUUUUAGGAUCACUGACGCCUUUAGAUUCAAGCUGGCAGCCCAGAAGGAGGCGAGUGGCGCCCGGCGCGCGCUCCCCUCACUAGCACUCUCGUCUGCCGCCUCCAGUUCGAAAAAGUCACCCAAAACAGGCGUCGAGACGCGACAUCAAGAAACUAUCACAGUGGAAGUUAAACAGGUGGGAUGGCAGGUACAUCAAUAGGCUAUUUCUUCCUCACAUACUGUUUGCUUACUCACACAUACUCUGUUAAUAUUUCUCACUUGUAUUGUGUGUAUUCGCGUGUGUCGUUACAACUUCCUUAAUUAAUUAGUUAUGGCAACUUUUUGAUUGGUGGUUGGGUCGCGCACACGCCCCACUUACACAUUCGGUUGUUGUUUGUUACGUUAUUGAGCACAGGACGCACGUGCGCUCUUUUUCGAUGUCUUGUUUUAUAUUGUAUUGUCUUGAGUGUGUGUUUUUAGUGCACCUUCUUCUUGUUCUUCAUUCGCAGUUUCACUUUGCGCGUGAUCGGCCUGAAUUUCGCGACGCAAUAUAUGUUUUUGAUAAUAGUUGUGAUUAAUCUAUAUUUAUUUGUGAUUAAAUUAAGUGUAGUGCAUUUUGUCAGGAGGAUUAUUUUAUUAUGUCUGAUGUGAGUUUAAUGGUAAUUCAAGGAUGGAAUUUUUAGUGCGUGGACAGUUUUUGCGAUAAUUUCGGAAUGAAACCGGGUCGCAUUAAAUUUUAGAAUUUGUAUGUUCCGCCAUGUUAAUAAGGAAGGUUGGCGUAUUUUAUGUGGAGGUAUACAGUAAUAUUUUUACUGCUUUGUUUUGAUGAGGAUAAAUUGUGCAAAAAGGUGUCAACGAUCGAAAAUUUUGUAUUGUAAACUCAAAACAGGAAAAAGUAUUGUGGAAACAUAAAAUGGUAUAAACCUACAUACAUAAAUUAAAAUCGGGCCGAGUCGAGUAACAAUAACAGGGAUAUAAAUAGACCUGUAGACGACUUUUUGUAAAUAGGUUAAAGGAGCGGUGUAAGUUUCAAUGUUGAGGAAUAAUAUUGGGUGAGUGU